Octopus sinensis (East Asian common octopus) is the source of this 167-nucleotide long non-coding RNA. RefSeq lists it as uncharacterized. The transcript has 3 exons. The record is from RefSeq and is a predicted model, not a curated record. Lineage: Eukaryota; Metazoa; Mollusca; Cephalopoda; Octopoda; Octopodidae.
GAUUUUAUGAUUGCAUUGGUCACGUUCAUGGAUGCGUUGAACAAUUCGAGAGUGCGUUUCACGAUCUUUGUUAUGGAUUCAGCAAGAGUAACCGAAACGAGGUCAGCUUGCGAAGCAUAUUAUUCCUUGUGAUUGGGACCAUAUUAUGUUUACACAUGUAAAUAAAG